CAGAAAACAGGCAGACAGCAGUUGGCGGAGGUCAGGAUGAAGUAUCAUUUGGAGGGCUGACCUGGAGGCGGGGCAGAGAGAGCCGUUUCUCAAGACGUUUGUCUGGAGUUCAGGGGCUCCCAGGUUUCACUCUGGCCUGAACCAAAAGAUAGAGGCUGGAGAAUUCAGGAGAACCUUGCUUCCUGGCGGUCCUUGCAGGGGGUGGGAGCACAGGCCAGCCCAGGAGAGAUGUUCACCUACCUGAGACGACGCAACCGAGGUUGAGCAGCCGCCUGAGGUCGCAGAUGCCGAGCGGUGGCACCCGGAUCAGAGCGCAGGCACGCUGCUCCGAUGCUGGCAGGUCAGCCAUCAAGCAGUUCAACUUUCUCUUCAGUCUGAGCAUUUCCAGAGCCCAACAGCCCUGUGGACUUCUGUUCCCAUGACCCUUCAUCUGUGGACUGAGUGAACACAGAGUCUGGAGGACGGAGCAAAGUAUUUCUCUGUUUCUGUGCAGUUUCCUCUUGGAUGGAAAUUACUGCCCUCAUGAGGAGGAUGAGGCCGAUAAAGGUUAAGUAACUUGCCGAGCGCCACCGAAACACUAAGUGAAAUGGCUGGGAUUCCAGCUCAGGGGCUGGCCCCGUGGCCGAGUGGUUAAGUUCGCGCGCUCCGCUGCAGGCGGCCCAGUGUUUCGUUGGUUCGAAUCCUGGGCGCAGACAUGGCACUGCUCAUCAAACCACGCUGAGGCAGCGUCCCACAUGCCACAACUAGAAGGACCCACAACGAAGAAUAUACAACUAUGUACUGGGGGGCUUUGGGGAG
This 798-nucleotide long non-coding RNA is filed under the name Equus caballus (horse). RNAcentral describes it as "lncRNA (ENSECAG00000044778.1)". The record is from RNAcentral. Lineage: Eukaryota; Metazoa; Chordata; Mammalia; Perissodactyla; Equidae.